GACGCUUUGGCCGAGUGGUUAAGGCGUUGGACUGCUAAUCCAAUGGGGUUUCCCCGCGUGAGUUCGAAUCUCACAGGCGUCG
This 82-nucleotide transfer RNA is filed under the name Globodera rostochiensis. It matches the Rfam family "tRNA". Rfam says of the family: Transfer RNA (tRNA) molecules are approximately 80 nucleotides in length. Their secondary structure includes four short double-helical elements and three loops (D, anti-codon, and T loops). Further hydrogen bonds mediate the characteristic L-shaped molecular structure. tRNAs have two regions of fundamental functional importance: the anti-codon, which is responsible for specific mRNA codon recognition, and the 3' end, to which the tRNAs corresponding amino acid is attached (by aminoacyl-tRNA synthetases). tRNAs cope with the degeneracy of the genetic code in two manners: having more than one tRNA (with a specific anti-codon) for a particular amino acid; and 'wobble' base-pairing, i.e. permitting non-standard base-pairing at the 3rd anti-codon position. Lineage: Eukaryota; Metazoa; Nematoda; Chromadorea; Rhabditida; Heteroderidae. RNAcentral also lists the same sequence under 1 other name. The record is from Rfam by way of RNAcentral.